Molecule: transfer RNA, 75 nt
Filed under: subsurface metagenome
Description: tRNA-Ile
Rfam family: tRNA
About the family: Transfer RNA (tRNA) molecules are approximately 80 nucleotides in length. Their secondary structure includes four short double-helical elements and three loops (D, anti-codon, and T loops). Further hydrogen bonds mediate the characteristic L-shaped molecular structure. tRNAs have two regions of fundamental functional importance: the anti-codon, which is responsible for specific mRNA codon recognition, and the 3' end, to which the tRNAs corresponding amino acid is attached (by aminoacyl-tRNA synthetases). tRNAs cope with the degeneracy of the genetic code in two manners: having more than one tRNA (with a specific anti-codon) for a particular amino acid; and 'wobble' base-pairing, i.e. permitting non-standard base-pairing at the 3rd anti-codon position.
Source: RNAcentral
GGACCCAUAGUUCAAUGGUUAGAACAGAUGUCUUAUAUACAUCAGAACUCAGUUCGAUUCUGAGUGGGUCUACCA